Molecule: ribosomal RNA, 253 nt
Filed under: uncultured bacterium
Lineage: Bacteria
Description: partial 16S ribosomal RNA
Rfam family: Bacterial small subunit ribosomal RNA
Source: RNAcentral
UACGUAGGGGGCAAGCGUUAUCCGGAUUUACUGGGUGUAAAGGGAGCGUAGACGGAGCAGCAAGUCUGAUGUGAAAGCCCGGGGCUCAACCCCGGGACUGCAUUGGAAACUGUUGGACUAGAGUGCUGGAGAGGUAAGUGGAAUUCCUAGUGUAGCGGUGAAAUGCGUAGAUAUUAGGAGGAACACCAGUGGCGAAGGCGGCUUACUGGACGGUAACUGACGUUGAGGCUCGAAAGCGUGGGGAGCAAACAGG